Molecule: transfer RNA, 64 nt
Filed under: Alaria americana
Lineage: Eukaryota; Metazoa; Platyhelminthes; Trematoda; Diplostomida; Diplostomidae
Description: tRNA-Pro
Source: RNAcentral
CAGUGUGUAGUUUAAAUAAAAAUGUUGGUUUUGGGAAUCAAUGUUCUCUUUUAGAGCUCUCUGA